GAGGUGUGGUAGAAAGCUUGCCAAAGAUGGUGAAGUAAGUCCGGCUCUGGUCUGUAUAGUCUGAACUUGCUGAGGAAAUUCUCUCACACUCUUUACUUUUGUGUUUUUGCAGUUUUUCCUAGUAAUAUAUUUAAAAGUGGGCUCACUGUGGUACACAUGCUAACUCAAAAAUCAGUAACUACGUGUUCUUUUUAAAGUAGUUAAGCACAGAGCUCAGAAGUCCGCAGCUCCUGACUACAUGACUGUGCUUGUAGAAGGGCACGGCUUCAGAGGCCCUGUUUAUAUUCUCUGCGCUUGGUGUCCUGAGACAGGGUAAGAGCUGCAGCACUCAGUUCCUCAGCCUUGCUUAGACCUCAGACAGAUGAGAGGCUUGAGUGGGUCCUUCUGCCAUAGAGAAACUGACAUAUAUCGUGUAGGAGGUGAUGCAUAGUCUAAUGAGGUUCUGUUUACAGCUAUCCUUAAUCAAAGUCAUCUGUCCCCUUGGAAUCCUCGCCACACCAGAGAACUGCCAUUGUUCCUUACAUGGAACUAGCACGCAGGUGUGUAGGGAAAAGAAGGACGGUUUACCCUGGUGUCUGCAGAGAACUUGCUCUCUAUUGUAUUAAGUCCAUUAAAUUGACUGUGCAGCCCACCUGUCAUCAUUUCCACCUUCACAUUGCAGCCUAGUUUUCACCUGCUUCUUUUUCUACCAAAUUUACUUCCACUUUGACUUUCAGAGGUUAUUUUAUACUUGCCUUCAGGAUUGUAGUAGGACAGAGAAGCGGUUGUCUUUUCCAUCCUGCCUCUUGUUGCUUCAUCCCUCAAUAGACUGCAGCUCUUUCAAAACAGAUGUGUCACCACCUGCCAGCUAUCCUGUCACUGUCACCCACAGGGCUCGGUCUCUCUUCACUGCUCUUGCUCACAGGCCUGUCUGCUUCAACAUCUGUAUCGCCUUUAGAAAUCUCCAUCUCAAGUGUCCUGUUUACAACGUCCACCUCUUUCUCCUUCUAGCCCUCUCUUCUAGAGCUUGAACAUAGUUUCUACCCCAUUGAGUCCCACAGUCUGCUCUUCUUUCUUUCCUCUCACUUUUUUUGUCAGCUCAUUAAUUCUUCUUGACUAGUAUUUUGUUCCGUCUUAAAACCGUUCCCUGUGUAAACCAUUCUCUUGUGUAUAUUCAGUUUCCUUUUCUUUUCCCACUUUGAAUGCUGUCGGACUAUUCAUCCCAGCACAGCAAGUUCCAAUACCUAUACUCUCCGAAUGAGUAUCUAAAUUAGGCUAAAAUUUGUUUAGAGGUCUACCUUAGUUAGGUUUUCUGUUGCCGUGAUAAACACUGUGACUAAAAGCAGCGUGGGGAGGACAGGGUUUAUUACUGUUGUAGAUUAUAGUCCAUCACUGAAGGAAGGCAGGGCAGGAACUCAAGUAGACCAGGAACGUGGAGGCAGGAGCAGUGAUGCAGAGACCAUGGAGGGAUGCUGCUUACUGGCUUGUUCCCCGUGGCGUGCUCAACCCACCCUCUUACAGAACACAGGACCACCAGCCCAGGGAUGAUACCACCCACAUCGUGUAACUUCCCACAUCAAUCCCGAGUGCUGGGAUUAAAUUUGUGUUCCAUCAGCACCACUGACUUUGAUUCCUGAUCCCAUUUGAUCACUGCAAAGCCUGCA
This 1643-nucleotide long non-coding RNA is filed under the name Rattus norvegicus (Norway rat). Its description in RNAcentral is "long non-coding RNA NONRATT021576". The record is from RNAcentral. Lineage: Eukaryota; Metazoa; Chordata; Mammalia; Rodentia; Muridae.